AUGAAUAUUACCACACUGGAGAAUGGAAAGCCUGAGGAGGGGAGGGCUUGCCAGCAGUCCGGAGCAAGGUGUGGCAGGGCCCUGUCCUCUGGUCCCUGUCAGAGCCGUCAGAAGUCCUCCGCAGCCUCCUCCCUGGAGCCAGAGGACCUCAGGGCCUCUGCUGCCAGCUUUGUGGUGAAGACAGGAGUUUGGAGUGGGUUUUCCCACGUCUGGAGCUCAUGUGCCUGCCCUGUGACCCAGUGGGAUGCAGCAGUGAGCAGUUUCUACAGCUUCCCCCGCGCUGGCCCAUCUCAGUGCAGAAAUGGAAUCAUUGCUGUCACAAGUUAG
This 327-nucleotide long non-coding RNA is filed under the name Felis catus (domestic cat). RNAcentral's name for it is "lncRNA (ENSFCAG00000049984.1)". Lineage: Eukaryota; Metazoa; Chordata; Mammalia; Carnivora; Felidae. The record is from RNAcentral.